This 495-nucleotide ribosomal RNA is filed under the name uncultured Cytophagales CE22. RNAcentral's name for it is "bacterial SSU rRNA". It matches the Rfam family "Bacterial small subunit ribosomal RNA", at positions 538 to 1031 of the family's 1533-position model. Lineage: Bacteria; Pseudomonadati; Bacteroidota; Sphingobacteriia; Sphingobacteriales. The record is from RNAcentral.
GCGUUAUCCGGAUUUAUUGGGUUUAAAGGGUGCGUAGGCGGAAUAUUAAGUCAGUGGUGAAAUCCUGCGGCUCAACCGUAGAACUGCCAUUGAUACUGAUAUUCUUGAAUGUAGUUGAGGUAGGCGGAAUGUGUAAUGUAGCGGUGAAAUGCUUAGAUAUUACACAGAACACCGAUUGCGAAGGCAGCUUACUAAACUAUGAUUGACGCUGAUGCACGAAAGCGUGGGGAGCGAACAGGAUUAGAUACCCUGGUAGUCCACGCUGUAAACGAUGAUCACUCGUUGGUUGCGAUAUAUUGUAAGCGACUGAGCGAAAGCAUUAAGUGAUCCACCUGGGGAGUACGUCGGCAACGAUGAAACUCAAAGGAAUUGACGGGGGCCCGCACAAGCGGAGGAACAUGUGGUUUAAUUCGAUGAUACGCGAGGAACCUUACCUGGGGUUAAAAUGUAAGGUGGAACGGAUCCGGAAACGAUUUUUCCCUUCGGGACUACUUA